AAGGGACCCAAUCAAUCAAUCAAUCAAUCAAUCAGUCAGUCAGUCAGUCAGUCAGUCAGUCUUUUGAUUACACUAUUUAAAUAGCCCCCAUUUGGGGUCAGCUUUCGCUUACGGCCAUACCACUCUGAAAAAGCCUGAUCUCAUCUGACCUCGGAAGCAAAGCAGAGUUGGGCCUGGUUAGUACUUGGUUGGGAGACUGAAUGGGAAUACUAGGUGCUGUAAGCUUUUUAUUUGGAUCAGUGUUUUCAUGGCCUCUGCACAACAUCCUGUUUUGGGAUAAAGGUUGGACACAGGUUUGAAGGGGACCCAAUCAAUCAAUCAAUCAAUCAGUCAGUCAGUCAGUCAGUCAGUCAGUCUUUUGAUUACACUAUUUAAAUAGCCCCAUUUGGGGUCAGCUUUCGCUUACGGCCAUACCACUCUGAAAAAGCCUGAUCUCAUCUGACCUCGGAAGCAAAGCAGAGUUGGGCCUGGUUAGUACUUGGUUGGGAGACUGAAUGGGAAUACUAGGUGCUGUAAGCUUUUUAUUUGGAUCAGUGUUUCAUGGCCUCUGC
This is a long non-coding RNA of Ictalurus punctatus (channel catfish), 551 nucleotides long. The record is from Ensembl. Lineage: Eukaryota; Metazoa; Chordata; Actinopteri; Siluriformes; Ictaluridae.